RNAcentral lists this unclassified non-coding RNA (301 nucleotides) under plant metagenome. RNAcentral's name for it is "partial contains small subunit ribosomal RNA, internal transcribed spacer 1, and 5.8S ribosomal RNA". The record is from RNAcentral.
UUUCCGUAGGUGAACCUGCGGAAGGAUCAUUAUUGAAUAAACCUGAUGUGACUGUUAGCUGGCUUUUCGAAGCAUGUGCUCGUCCGUCAUCUUUAAUCUCUCCAUCUGUGCACAUUUUGUAGUCUUGGAUACCUCUCGAGGCAACUCGGAUUUUAGGAUCGCCGUGCUGUUCAAGUCGACUUUUCUUUCAUUUCCAAGGCUAUGUUUUUAUAUACACCAAAGUAUGUUUAAAGAAUGUCAUCAAUAGGAACUUGUUUCCUAUAAAAUUAUACAACUUUCAGCAACGGAUCUCUUGGCUCUC